GAAACAAAUAGCUCAAUGGUAGAGCACUCGACGGAAGCCGAUGGUGUAAUCGAGAGAUACGGGUUCGAAUCCCGCACUGUUUCU
RNAcentral lists this transfer RNA (84 nucleotides) under Caudoviricetes sp. Its description in RNAcentral is "tRNA-Phe". It matches the Rfam family "tRNA". Rfam says of the family: Transfer RNA (tRNA) molecules are approximately 80 nucleotides in length. Their secondary structure includes four short double-helical elements and three loops (D, anti-codon, and T loops). The record is from RNAcentral. Lineage: Duplodnaviria; Heunggongvirae; Uroviricota; Caudoviricetes.